GACGAACGCUGGCGGCGUGCCUAAUACAUGCAAGUCGAACGCAGUGGGGACGGGUGAGUAACACGUGGGUAACCUCCCAUCAGAGGGGAUAACACUUGGAAACAGGUGCUAAACCGAUACUGAUGGAUGGACCCGCGGUGCAUUAGCUAGUUGGUGAGGUAACGGCUCACCAAGGCCACGAUGCAUAGCCAACCUGGAGGGGGAACCGGCACAACUGGGCUUGACAAAGGGCCAGGACCCCACCGGAAGGCGGCAGUGGGAAAUUUCCGGCAUUGGACGAAAGUUUGACCAGGCAACGCGGGGUAGGUAAGAAGGGUUUCCGGUCCGUAAACUCUGUUGUUAGAGAAGCGGUAUCUAACCAGAAAGCCACGGCUAACUACGUGCCAGCCGCCGCGGUAAUUC
RNAcentral lists this ribosomal RNA (402 nucleotides) under uncultured bacterium. RNAcentral's name for it is "partial 16S ribosomal RNA". It matches the Rfam family "Bacterial small subunit ribosomal RNA", at positions 28 to 526 of the family's 1533-position model. The record is from RNAcentral.